CCUACGGGAGGCAGCAGUGGGGAAUAUUGGACAAUGGGCGAAAGCCUGAUCCAGCCAUGCCGCGUGUGUGAAGAAGGCCUUCGGGUUGUAAAGCACUUUCAGUGGGGAAGAAAGCCUUGGGGCUAAUACCCUCGAGGAAGGACAUCACCCACAGAAGAAGCACCGGCUAACUCCGUGCCAGCAGCCGCGGUAAUACGGAGGGUGCGAGCGUUAAUCGGAAUUACUGGGCGUAAAGCGCGCGUAGGCGGUCUGAUAAGCCGGUUGUGAAAGCCCCGGGCUCAACCUGGGAACGGCAUCCGGAACUGUCAGGCUAGAGUACAGGAGAGGAAGGUAGAAUUCCCGGUGUAGCGGUGAAAUGCGUAGAGAUCGGGAGGAAUACCAGUGGCGAAGGCGGCCUUCUGGACUGACACUGACGCUGAGGUGCGAAAGCGUGGGUAGCAAACAGGAUUAGAUACCCCUGUAGUC
Molecule: ribosomal RNA, 465 nt
Filed under: Vreelandella stevensii
Lineage: Bacteria; Pseudomonadati; Pseudomonadota; Gammaproteobacteria; Oceanospirillales; Halomonadaceae
Description: partial 16S ribosomal RNA
Rfam family: Bacterial small subunit ribosomal RNA
Source: RNAcentral